UACAGAGGGUGCGAGCGUUAAUCGGAAUUACUGGGCGUAAAGCGCGCGUAGGCGGCUUUGCAAGUCGGAUGUGAAAUCCCCGGGCUCAACCUGGGAACUGCAUUCGAGACUGCAUUGCUAGAGUAUGGGAGAGGGAAGUGGAAUUUCAGGUGUAGCGGUGAAAUGCGUAGAUAUCUGAAGGAACAUCAGUGGCGAAAGCGACUUCCUGGACCAAUACUGACGCUGAGGCGCGAAAGCGUGGGGAGCAAACAGG
Molecule: ribosomal RNA, 253 nt
Filed under: uncultured bacterium
Lineage: Bacteria
Description: partial 16S ribosomal RNA
Rfam family: Bacterial small subunit ribosomal RNA
Source: RNAcentral